UAAUAGCUUUGAUAUUUCAUGGUUCAGUUGGUUUAUGUUAUUCGAAUUCAUGUGGUUUUAAAUGAACUAUAGAACUUAUGUAUUUUGUGAAAAGAAAAAAUGGUUUUCUACCCCUCGUGGUAGUGUUUUAAAAAGAAAAGAUUUCUGUGUGGAAAACAGCUUUCAAAAGAGUUUUUCUUGUGGUUUUUAUGUUUAAACAUUGAAUGAUAAAUAUCUGGUGAAUGGUGAAUGAAUGUUGAGAAUUGUCUAUUCAUAUAUUGUGAUUGUAUCCUGGUUAUACUCUGUUUGGACAUCUUGUACUUGUGCGACGCCGUGCAAAUACAGGGGAGACUCUGUCCAUGUGAACAGUGGAUUUUCUGUAUUUGUGGCGGAUCUGGCAUACCCUGGGGUCAGGUUUUCAAAAAAAAAAAAAUU
RNAcentral lists this long non-coding RNA (414 nucleotides) under Ananas comosus (pineapple). RNAcentral's name for it is "long non-coding RNA (ACOM_LNC030380)". The record is from RNAcentral. Lineage: Eukaryota; Viridiplantae; Streptophyta; Magnoliopsida; Poales; Bromeliaceae.